GGUGGUUCUUGGGUGAUGCACCCCAGAAUCAGUCUCCCUCCUUUCUGGUUCCAGGUGAGUCACCCAAGAACCGCA
Molecule: non-coding RNA, 75 nt
Organism: Myotis davidii
Lineage: Eukaryota; Metazoa; Chordata; Mammalia; Chiroptera; Vespertilionidae
Source: Rfam